RNAcentral lists this long non-coding RNA (265 nucleotides) under Trifolium pratense (red clover). Its description in RNAcentral is "long non-coding RNA (TPRA_LNC003905)". Lineage: Eukaryota; Viridiplantae; Streptophyta; Magnoliopsida; Fabales; Fabaceae. The record is from RNAcentral.
CGUCACACAAUGAUUGAAUGUUCUUGACUAAAUUAAAAAUAGGUAUCUCAACAUGUAUCAAUGAAAAUAUAUUGGAUUGAAAGUUCCAAAAUUACUGUAGCAAACGAAAAAGAUCUAUCUUUCAAAAUAUUGGUACCAAACAGCGUCUUUGAACAAAACACCUUUUGCCCAAUUAGUAAGGUUAUUUUGUAUUAAUCAAGCAAAAGAUUGAAUGUUGUUGAAUUAUCAAGAAUUAGAAAAUGAGUAUCUGAAUCUCCAAAAUGGA